CCUACGGGUGGCAGCAGUGGGGAAUAUUGGACAAUGGGCGAAAGCCUGAUCCAGCCAUGCCGCGUGUGUGAAGAAGGCCUUCGGGUUGUAAAGCACUUUCAGUGGGGAAGAAAGCCUUGGGGCUAAUACCCUCGAGGAAGGACAUCACCCACAGAAGAAGCACCGGCUAACUCCGUGCCAGCAGCCGCGGUAAUACGGAGGGUGCGAGCGUUAAUCGGAAUUACUGGGCGUAAAGCGCGCGUAGGCGGUCUGAUAAGCCGGUUGUGAAAGCCCCGGGCUCAACCUGGGAACGGCAUCCGGAACUGUCAGGCUAGAGUGCAGGAGAGGAAGGUAGAAUUCCCGGUGUAGCGGUGAAAUGCGUAGAGAUUGGGAGGAAUACCAGUGGCGAAGGCGGCCUUCUGGACUGACACUGACGCUGAGGUGCGAAAGCGUGGGUAGCAAACAGGAUUAGAUACCCCUGUAGUC
This 465-nucleotide ribosomal RNA is filed under the name Vreelandella stevensii. RNAcentral's name for it is "partial 16S ribosomal RNA". It matches the Rfam family "Bacterial small subunit ribosomal RNA", at positions 338 to 795 of the family's 1533-position model. Lineage: Bacteria; Pseudomonadati; Pseudomonadota; Gammaproteobacteria; Oceanospirillales; Halomonadaceae. The record is from RNAcentral.